Molecule: long non-coding RNA, 1025 nt
Filed under: Piliocolobus tephrosceles (Ugandan red Colobus)
Lineage: Eukaryota; Metazoa; Chordata; Mammalia; Primates; Cercopithecidae
Description: lncRNA (ENSPTEG00000006753.1)
Source: RNAcentral
CACACACAGCUAAUUUUUGCCAUCACACACAGCUAAUUUUUGUAUUUUUAGUAGAGAUGGGGUUUCACCAUGUUGGUCAGGCUGGUCUUGAACUUGUGGCCUCGUGAUCCACCUGCCUCAGCCUCCCAAACUGCUAGGAUUACAAGCGUGAGCCACCACACCCAGCAAUUAAAUUGCAUUUCUUAAGCACCCACCCUAAAGUUACUUAAUCAUAGCUGGAAUAUUUUCUGGCUCUUUGAAGUCAGGAUAGACAGCAGAUUUUGCAGAUAAAAUGCACAGGGCAUAAUAUGGCAUCAUAGCAAGGCCAGCUGUCUUCAUACCCAAAGGAUAUGGGAUUUUACAAUAUAUUUUCACUCUGAAUGAAGGUUUUGGGAUUCUCUGGCUCUUCUUAUAUCAGGUAAAGAACAGAGCAUGGUGGAAUGGACUUGAACUCUGAGUUUAGACAGAUCAAUCUUCUGAUUUGGAGUUCUUCUGAAAGUGACCUGGAGUCACUUUCUUCCUUUCUUAGAAUUUGUUCCUUCAUUUGCGAAGUGCGGUAAUACAUGUCUGACAGAGCUAUUGUGAAAAUGAGGAAAUAUGCAAAACAUAUUGCAGGUGCACAAAUGUCAGUUCCCUUCUGUUAUUGACGAGGAGUUGCCUCCACUUUAAUGAAAAGGAUUUUUAGUGUGACUAGGAUUCAGAAGUCCAUGAUGGUGGAAGAAGAUGAGACAGGGGAUGUUCCUGUUUGGGGCUCCACUGAAAGCCUCUGGUGCAAUUUCCUUUGCUAUAGCAUUAAAACACACUUACUGAAGAAAAAAGAAAAAACAGUGGACUAGGAAGUGAGGGUUCUGUUUCCAGCUCUGGCCCUUGCUAGUGACUUGGAUGCCCUUGGGUAAGUCUCUUAACCUCCCUAAGACUAGUUUUCUUCUUCUGUAAGUUAAGAAUUAUGAUAUUAAUGGGUCUAUUGUGAGGUUCAAAUGAAAUAAUGGUAGUUAAAGUGCUUUAUAAACAAUAAAGCACCCUACAGAACUAGGGUAAUAUUAAUG